Long non-coding RNA from Gasterosteus aculeatus aculeatus (three-spined stickleback), 356 nucleotides. Lineage: Eukaryota; Metazoa; Chordata; Actinopteri; Perciformes; Gasterosteidae. The record is from Ensembl.
GGCAGAUCAACGGCAGUUGAUGCAUGUGCUAACGAAAUGAUUGAUCCCACGGACGCCGUCCGGUCACGCUCGUCGCUUCCCUCAGGCCUCAGGCUGGCCAAUCGUCCUCCCAGUAAAACCAGCAGGAGCAUGUUGGAUCAAAGAGCUUCUCGGCUCUUAGAUGUGACAAGAAACAUCACGUUUUGUAGAAAAAUCGACUUAUUAUUUGACACUUGAUUGUUGGGCGUUGGGGUCUCAAUGGGGGUUUGAUUUAAGACCAAAACGAGCGGAAAAAGUCUUUCACCAGCAGAUGUGAAAAGAACCAAAGAUCCAUCUGCGGCACCAUCUUCUAAUGUCUCCAACAAGUCCAACGACUG